AACUCGGCAAAAUGACCCCGUAACUUCGGGAGAAGGGGUGCUCUGUUAGGGUGCAAGCCCGAGAGAGCCGCAGUGAAUAGGCCCAGGCGACUGUUUAGCAAAAACACAGGUCUCUGCGAAGCCGUAAGGCGAAGUAUAGGGGCUGACGCCUGCCCGGUGCUGGAAGGUUAAGAGGAGCGCUUAGCGUAAGCGAAGGUGCGAAUUGAAGCCCCAGUAAACGGCGGCCGUAACAAUAACGGUCCUAAGGUAGCGAAAUUCCUUGUCGGGUAAGUUCCGACCCGCACGAAAGGCGCAACGAUCUGGGCACUGUCUCAACGAGAGACUCGGUGAAAUUAUAGUACCUGUGAAGAUGCAGGUUACCCGCGACAGGACGGAAAGACCCCGUGGAGCUUUACUGCAGCCUGAUAUUGAAUGUUGGUACAGCUUGUACAGGAUAGGUAGGAGCCUUGGAAACCGGAGCGCCAGCUUCGGUGGAGGCAUCGGUGGGAUACUACCCUGGCUGUAUUGACCUUCUAACCCGCCGCCCUUAUCGGGCGGGGAGACAGUGUCAGGUGGGCAGUUUGACUGGGGCGGUCGCCUCCUAAAAGGUAACGGAGGCGCCCAAAGGUUCCCUCAGAAUGGUUGGAAAUCAUUCGCAGAGUGUAAAGGCACAAGGGAGCUUGACUGCGAGACCUACAAGUCGAGCAGGGACGAAAGUCGGGCUUAGUGAUCCGGUGGUUCCGCAUGGAAGGGCCAUCGCUCAACGGAUAAAAGCUACCCCGGGGAUAACAGGCUUAUCUCCCCCAAGAGUCCACAUCGACGGGGAGGUUUGGCACCUCGAUGUCGGCUCAUCGCAUCCUGGGGCUGUAGUCGGUCCCAAGGGUUGGGCUGUUCGCCCAUUAAAGCGGUACGCGAGCUGGGUUCAGAACGUCGUGAGACAGUUCGGUCCCUAUCCGUCGCGGGCGCAGGAAAUUUGAGAGGAGCUGUCCUUAGUACGAGAGGACCGGGAUGGACGCACCGCUGGUGUACCAGUUGUUCUGCCAAGGGCAUCGCUGGGUAGCUAUGUGCGGACGGGAUAAGUGCUGAAAGCAUCUAAGCAUGAAGCCCCCCUCAAGAUGAGAUUUCCCAUUCCGCAAGGAAGUAAGAUCCCUGAAAGAUGAUCAGGUUGAUAGGUCUGAGGUGGAAGUGUGGCGACACAUGGAGCUGACAGAUACUAAUCGAUCGAGGACCUAAUC
RNAcentral lists this ribosomal RNA (1214 nucleotides) under metagenome. RNAcentral's name for it is "bacterial LSU rRNA". It matches the Rfam family "Bacterial large subunit ribosomal RNA", at positions 1711 to 2925 of the family's 2925-position model. The record is from RNAcentral.